GAUGAACGCUGGCGGCGUGCCUAAUACAUGCAAGUCGAGCGAUCGGACGAGAAGCUUGCUUUUCUGAUGUUAGCGGCGGACGGGUGAGUAACACGUGGAUAACCUACCUAUAAGACUGGGAUAACUUCGGGAAACCGGAGCUAAUACCGGAUAAUAUUUUGAACCGCAUGGUUCAAAAGUGAAAGACGGUCUUGCUGUCACUUAUAGAUGGAUCCGCGCUGCAUUAGCUAGUUGGUAAGGUAACGGCUUACCAAGGCAACGAUGCAUAGCCGACCUGAGAGGGUGAUCGGCCACACUGGAACUGAGACACGGUCCAGACUCCUACGGGAGGCAGCAGUAGGGAAUCUUCCGCAAAGGGCGAAAGCCUGACGGAGCAACGCCGCGUGAGUGAUGAAGGUCUUCGGAUCGUAAAACUCUGUUAUUAGGGAAGAACAUAUGUGUAAGUAACUGUGCACAUCUUGACGGUACCUAAUCAGAAAGCCACGGCUAACUACGUG
This 497-nucleotide ribosomal RNA is filed under the name uncultured bacterium. RNAcentral describes it as "partial 16S ribosomal RNA". It matches the Rfam family "Bacterial small subunit ribosomal RNA", at positions 28 to 507 of the family's 1533-position model. The record is from RNAcentral.